Molecule: ribosomal RNA, 407 nt
Filed under: uncultured bacterium
Lineage: Bacteria
Description: partial 16S ribosomal RNA
Rfam family: Bacterial small subunit ribosomal RNA
Source: RNAcentral
GACGAACGCUGGCGGCGUGCCUAAUACAUGCAAGUAGGACGCAGUUGCGAACGGGUGAGUAACGCGUAGGUAACUGCCUAUUAGAGGGGGAUAACUACUGGAAACGAUAGCUAAUACCGCAUACUAGUAGAUGGACCUGCGUUGUAUUAGCUAGUAGGUAGGGUAAUGGCCUACCUAGGCGACGAUACAUAGCCGACCUGCAGGGGUGAUCGGGCACACUGGGACUGGGACACGGCCCCGACUCCUGCGGGAGGCAGCAGUAGGGAAUCUUCGGCAAUGGGGGGAACCCUGACCGAGCAACGCCGCGGGAGGUAAGGAGGUUUUCGGAUCUUAAAGCUCUGUUGUUAAGGAAGCGGUACUUACCCAGAAAGGUCCGGCUAACUACGUGCCAGCCGCCGCGGUAAUAC